UACAGAGGGGGCAAGCGUUGUUCGGAAUUACUGGGCGUAAAGGGCGCGUAGGCGGCCUUCUAAGUCGAACGUGAAAUCCCUGGGCUCAACCCAGGAACUGCGUCCGAUACUGGAAGGCUUGAAUCCGGGAGAGGGAUGCGGAAUUCCAGGUGUAGCGGUGAAAUGCGUAGAUAUCUGGAGGAACACCGGUGGCGAAGGCGGCACCCUGGACCGGCAUUGACGCUGAGGCGCGAAAGCCAGGGGAGCAAACGGG
Molecule: ribosomal RNA, 253 nt
Filed under: uncultured bacterium
Lineage: Bacteria
Description: partial 16S ribosomal RNA
Rfam family: Bacterial small subunit ribosomal RNA
Source: RNAcentral